Molecule: ribosomal RNA, 377 nt
Filed under: Eremias argus
Lineage: Eukaryota; Metazoa; Chordata; Lepidosauria; Squamata; Lacertidae
Description: partial 12S ribosomal RNA
Rfam family: Bacterial small subunit ribosomal RNA
Source: RNAcentral
GCUAGGCCUUUAACAUUGAUAGUAAAAAUACGCUACUAUCCGCCAGAGAACUACAAGUGAAAAACUUUAAACUCAAAGGAUUUGGCGGUGUCCCAUACCUGCCUAGAGGAGCCUGUCCUAUAAUCGAUACUCCCCGUUCCACCCAACCUCAACUAGCACCUCCAGUCUAUAUACCGCCGUCGACAGUCUACCCCAUGAGGGCCCAACAGUAGACACAACAAUUUCCCACUAACACGUCAGGUCAAGGUGUAGCAUACGUUGAGGAAGAGAUUGGCUACAUUUUUUAUGAUAAAAAAUACGAAAUGCAAUAUGAAACCCCGCAUAAAGGUGAAUUUAGUAGUAAGAUAAACAAGAGUGUUUGUCUUAAUUAUGCUGUG